AUUGAACCAUCAACCUUGCAAUUACUGUGUAAUCCUAUCUACCCAUUGAGCCACGGCCAAAUAUGAAUGGACCUUUGAGUUUGUGACAACUUUUCCACACUGCUGGGCUUCAGGCGGUGUCUUUUUUUUAUGAAGCUGGGGUACUUAUACGAGUUUGGAUACACAUUUUUUUUAUUUUUGUUAUGUUCUUCCCAAUACUCCAGGGGGUUCUCCACGUCCAAGGUUUGGUUCACCUUGGUUGGUCUCCUAGUUCUCAUGCAGGGCUCUAUAAUGCCUGAGCAUAGAUGAGUCAUCAACACAAGCCUCGAUUCGCGCUUCAUAAAAAUCGUCCUGGAUUACUCGACACAAGCUUCGAAGCCUCGACACGAACGUCACAUCACUAAUUUUCUCAUACUUUUUCUGUCUAGGCUGUUUUUAUUGAC
Gasterosteus aculeatus aculeatus (three-spined stickleback) is the source of this 422-nucleotide long non-coding RNA. NCBI's taxonomy places the organism in Eukaryota, Metazoa, Chordata, Actinopteri, Perciformes, Gasterosteidae. The record is from Ensembl.